This is a long non-coding RNA of Agrilus planipennis (emerald ash borer), 1465 nucleotides long. RefSeq lists it as uncharacterized. The record is from RefSeq and is a predicted model, not a curated record. Lineage: Eukaryota; Metazoa; Arthropoda; Insecta; Coleoptera; Buprestidae. The transcript is spliced from 2 exons.
UGUAUAUCUUGAUCCUGAUUUUAUGAAAAGGUUUUUGUUACAGAGAAUACCGGAGGUGUCUUGAAAAAAGAAGCUAUUUGGUGAAACACUGAGAAAGUCACAUAAAUGAGAAGAGAAGACUACAGUGGUUUUGAUGACACAGAAAGGCUAACUACGGUUUAGAAAGAGUAGUUGGAAGAAAGAACCCUUUGAAAGUGGUUGUAAAGGUAAGUACAAUUUUAAAACUAUAAAUUAUGAUCUUUUAUUUUUUGAGGCUGACGUUUAGAAACUUUCAUUAAGGUAGUGUUACAACCUUAUUCUUACUCAUUUUCCGAAAUGUUAAAUUUAAUUUUUCUUUAAGUAAAUUUCAUUCUAAUAAUUUGAUAUUGAAAAACUGCUUUUGUUCUUAAGUGAGAUACUAGAGGUUCUGUGCUACUCGAGUCUCACUCAAUGAUUUUACUCAGAAGCACCCCUGUAUUUUUAGUGAUGUUGAUGUCACGAUGAACUUUUUCGAUGGUUUUAAGUUUAAUGCACAUCAUUCGAUAACUUCGCCCAAAACUUUCACGAAAAUUCAUGUAUUCUUAUGCCACGGAUAACCAACUGCCCGACACUCUGUUCUAAGAAUGCCGAGACUUAAUUUGAUAAUACCUGCCACCUACGUAAACGCUAUAUUUAAUUCAGAUAUUGAAGUAGCUGUUUAGUACUUUUCAGGGUUCUAUGCCUCAAUCGAAUCUUCAACUCAUGUGUCUACCAGUUAUCUUCAAAACGAUUUAACGUAGAAAGUUGAAAUUACCUCUCAAAACUAUGAAUAAAGGAUGACAAUUAACAAUAAUUUUGUAGAAGCUGAAAAAGAGCUAAGAUAUUUUGAGAGUUGUUUUUAAAAUUGCGUAUAAAAAAGUAUGUUUCCCAAACCACUGAAUCGAAAAUUAUGAAAAAGAUCAGAAUUAAUGAAAAUUUUCGUAAACUUUAACGUAUCCAUUAGGUUGGUACAGAACCGCCUGUAUGCGAAUCGAACUUCAUUUAGGACGAAUCUAAUUCCCAUUUGGUCUUAAUUUUACUAUAUUGAAUUAAACCACGAAAAAAAAACUCUUAAACAUUCAUUUUUAUUAACCAACGUCGGUAUUAUUCAAGCAACAAAAUUUAGAGUAUAAUAAUUUUUAGGUACCUAUUAUAUUGAAUAAAUACUUCAAAAAGUAAUAAAAAACUUCAUGUUAGUAAUAUCAAUAGAAACAUAUAAAAGUAAAAUAAUUAUGGCUUACAACGAUUGAUAGUAAUUAUGGGGUCAAUUUAAAAACUGAAAUAGAUAUUCACAUUAUAGACCAUUGCUAAAGGGGUAGCAGAAAUAAAUACUGAUAAGUUAAUUAAGAGUGACUUAAAAAACAAUAAAUGUAACGUUUAAAAUCGAAAAAAUAAUUCUUAAGGAAGCCCCCUCUUGCAACAGUGUGCCUUCAUUGGAUAAAUUUAAAAAUAAUUUCAAAAUCUCUUA